AUCUUACAUAGUUCAGAAAAUAAAAUGCCUAAGCAGAAUGAGUGGAGUGCUCAUUGGGAAUGUUGCAGGUGUGAAUCUGCCAGAGAAGUUUUCAGAACUUCUCAUCUGUAAUAGAGGUAGAAAGAAGUUUGGUGGGUAUUAGGAAUAGGGUAGAUUUUUCCUGAACAGAGAGGCUACAACACAGAAACAACCCCAGCAUUAACUUGUCCUAAGUGGCAAACAGAAAGAUAGGACUGGGUGAGGAGCCUUCUACUGCAGGAGCACUGACAGGAGGACAAACUCCACGCAUUUCAGAGGAUUUGAAGGGGGUCUGGGCCACUCACGACUUACAGAGAAAGCCGCUGAGGAAGACCAGUAUAACCCUACUUAGAGACUUCUUCCAACCCAAUCUCUGGCUGCAGUCUUUUCUGGUCUUCAACCAAGGGAGUGCCCCAGUCUUUGGAUUUAUCCAGCACAGGACAAUUUGGGUACAGGGCCCAAAGAGGGUUCCCAACAGAGUGUAUAAGGACUCCAGUUCCUGAAACUGUCUUUUUCCAGCAGCAAAGAUGGCCACCAUUAAGAGUUGUGUCCAAAGUCUGCGUCUUGAUUCGGUGCUCCACCACACUCAUUUUCAUGGAGAAGAUCCCAUUCAGGACCUGGAAAGAUUCAAGCACCUUAAACUUUAGUUCUAAAUUUAGCUCCUCUGAGAAGAAGGUUGAGAUCCAGAGGUCCUAAAUGAAGCUGGAUGCUUUGGGAGACAGCUUGGGUUGGGUUAAAUUAAAGCUCAUUCUCUUGAGGGCUGUAGACACCACAAACAAAGCUUUCUCUACUGGGUUCAGCUACUGUAUUUAAUGCACUGAGUAACUCUUACUGUUCCUAGGGUUUCCUUUUUUUUUGGUUUUUUGUUUUAUUUGUUUUUGAGAGAGAGAAAGAGCAUGAGCAGGGGAGGGGCAGAGAGAGAGGGAGACACAGAAUCAGAAGCAGGCUCCAGGCUCUGAGCUGUCAGCACAGAGCCUGAUAUGGGACUCAAACCCAGGAACCAUGAGAUCAUGACUUGAAUGUAAGUUGGACGCUUUACCGACUGAGCCACCCAGGCGCCCUCCUAGGGUUUCCUAAAGCCUAGGAAUAAAGCUAACAGAAGAGGGCAAUACAUUUCACUUAACUAACUUUAACAGUAUAACCAAAGUUGUUUUUUUUCAAAUAGCUCAUGAAAGGCCUUGGUCAGAAUUUUGGUGGCAAUAAAAAUACUUGAACAUUAAUGCAUCUCUGUCCUCUAGAUCACCAGACUGUGAGUACAUUAAGAAUGAAACACCACCCCAGAUGCUAUAACCUUUGUAGGUCCGUAUUUCUUUUCCAAAAAAUGAAAAGAACAAAGUCACCACUCUCACAACUGGAACAAAAUGCCGUAGAAACUCA
Suricata suricatta (meerkat) is the source of this 1395-nucleotide long non-coding RNA. The record is from Ensembl. Lineage: Eukaryota; Metazoa; Chordata; Mammalia; Carnivora; Herpestidae.